Molecule: long non-coding RNA, 1146 nt
Organism: Ostrea edulis (European flat oyster)
Lineage: Eukaryota; Metazoa; Mollusca; Bivalvia; Ostreida; Ostreidae
Exons: 2
Source: RefSeq, a predicted model, not a curated record
UUUAAUUUUAGACAUACAGACCCUGAAGCGUACUACUACACCACUUGAAAGAAAUGGUACGAAACGAUUCUUACACGGAACAGUGAAUGGUUUCCACGGAAUGGUUAACGGUUUACAUAGAACGCUUCGCAUGAAAUGCUGACCACUUUGUGAACGGUCUGCACGAAAUGAUAUGCAGGCCUCCACGCUUUGAUUUUUUUUGGCAUUAAUCGGUUCUUUCCUACUUUCCUACUACAUGUAUUGAAAUAAUUUCAAUAUAUUGGUAUAAUAUUCUUUAUAAUGAAAAAAGUUGAGAAAGAAAUCAUAAUGAUCCACUUUAAAAUUAUUGUUCAUUUCCAACACAGUAAAUUGCUCCUUUUUAAUUAUCAAUAAAUAAACAAUAAAUAAGGACCCCAUUGGAAAUAAGCCAUAUGGCUUUCAUGGGUUAUCCUUGGCAUAGGCAUAUACAUUAAUUUACUCACUGUGCUCUUUAAGUCAAAUAGCUGUUAAAAUUUACCUUUUUAUCUUAUGUAUUUAACAAAGUCACAUUAAAAUGAGUUAUGUAAAUAUAUUUUAGUCCUAGUACCAUAUAACCCGUACUGAGCACCUGUCAGUUCAGUUUUUUAUCACUGUAAAUAUCCUAUUUGUAACCUCAGUUCACUGGACUUUUAAACCGCCAGUUCGUGCUACAAAUCAUAUAUUGGACACGGACGGUAGUCCAGGGAGAAGGACGUCAAUAUACUUCUCUCGUUAUAUCUAAAUUGUAUCACCAUUGAAUUCUUUAUUAUCCACAUGGCUGGCACUGUGAUGACAAUUUUUAGUUAUAUAGUCCUGCUUUUCUGAGGUCCUGUCCGCCUGUGUAUUCCUUCUUGUGAUUUCCCAACAACCUGCUAUCCCGAGGAGCUCAGUUAUGUGUGGUGUCCUACCUGUGGACCCAUAAGACGUGCGUGUUUGAAGGGAUCGUUUCUUCGUAGAACACGUCUUGUAGCAGGGACGGAGAGUGUAAAGGACAAAACAGUAGUGACAAACCAGGGACCGUUUCUUGUAGAACAAGUCACAGGGAUGGAGUGUAUGAAGGGCAAACCAGUAGUGACAAACCAUACCAAUCAACAUCUUAUUUUCAUACUUGUAUCUUGAUUAUUAAUUCCAUUAAAUAUGUAAAGUGUU